Molecule: ribosomal RNA, 188 nt
Filed under: uncultured Cryptococcus
Lineage: Eukaryota; Fungi; Basidiomycota; Tremellomycetes
Description: partial 28S ribosomal RNA
Rfam family: Eukaryotic large subunit ribosomal RNA (bases 30-188)
Source: RNAcentral
UACAAUCGCCCUCGGGCAAUUUUUGGCUCUGACCUCAAAUCAGGUAGGACUACCCGCUGAACUUAAGCAUAUCAAUAAGCGGAGGAAAAGAAACUAACAAGGAUUCCCUUAGUAGCGGCGAGCGAAGCGGGAAGAGCUCAAAUUUGAAAGCUGGCGUCCUUCGGGCGUCCGCAUUGUAAUCUAUAGAG